Non-coding RNA from Cyanistes caeruleus (blue tit), 355 nucleotides. The record is from RefSeq and is a predicted model, not a curated record. NCBI's taxonomy places the organism in Eukaryota, Metazoa, Chordata, Aves, Passeriformes, Paridae.
CACCCUCCCACCCUCCGUCUCACACGUCCCUGAACUUUCACCUCAUUGACUUCAACGUGCUGACAGUGACAACCAUCGUGCUGGCACGGCGGCUCAUUGGUGCUGUGGUCAAGGAGGCUUCCCAGAGUGGCAAAGUGUCCCUGCCACGCUCCAUCUUCCUGGUGGUCACUCGCUUCGCCGUCCUCACGGGCACAGGCUGGAGUUUGUGUCGCUCCAUCAUCCACCUCUUCAGGACCUACUCAUUCCUCAACCUCCUGUUCCUGUGCUACCCGUGAGUAUCCCUGGCUCUGGGCUGGGGGAUGCACCCAAAGUCCAGGGGGAGGCUCCCUGCAGCCCUGAGGGGUUCUGAGCUGGA